AUUGUUAAAUGUUACAAGCAAUAUUUUCAAUAAAUGAAAAUCAAUUUUAUCGCAAAUGUGGGCAAUUACAGGGCCCUUUGUGGGGUGUAUGGAAGGGAUGUAGUUGAAGCACAUCACCAAGCUUGCUUGUAUGCAUAAACAUUUCAGGAUCUAAUGCUGAAGUUAUGUCUACUCGGGUAAACAUUUCAGAACUUAUAACAUAAAUAGAAAUAAUUUUAAAUAUAACUGUAUAUUUUUUCAAUAUCAGUGGGAAUAUCAAGUUGUACCGUGCCUAGGAAUUGGAAUCGGGGACUAUUUGUAGAUGUCCCGAUUCAUCCUGCAUAGAGUCGCUGAAGAAUUUGGUGUUUGUGCUACCUUGGAUCCAAAAUCCCUUGAAACUGGAAUGGAUCAGGUGCCCACUGCAAUUUCUCAACAAAGACGAUUGGGAAGAAAACGGAAUAUUACAUAUUGAAAAUGCCAUUGACAAACUGUCGAAACAACAUCUGAGGCACAUUAGGGCUUAUGAUCCCAAGGAAGGCAAAGA
This is a long non-coding RNA of Cimex lectularius (bed bug), 523 nucleotides long. RefSeq lists it as uncharacterized. Lineage: Eukaryota; Metazoa; Arthropoda; Insecta; Hemiptera; Cimicidae. The record is from RefSeq and is a predicted model, not a curated record. The transcript is spliced from 2 exons.